This 495-nucleotide ribosomal RNA is filed under the name uncultured bacterium. RNAcentral's name for it is "partial 16S ribosomal RNA". It matches the Rfam family "Bacterial small subunit ribosomal RNA", at positions 28 to 507 of the family's 1533-position model. The record is from RNAcentral.
GAUGAACGCUGGCGGCGUGCCUAAUACAUGCAAGUAGAACGCUGAAGGAGGAGCUUGCUCUUCUGGAUGAGUUGCGAACGGGUGAGUAACGCGUAGGUAACCUGCCUGGUAGCGGGGGAUAACUAUUGGAAACGAUAGCUAAUACCGCAUGACAACAGUUAUUGCAUGAUAACUGUUUAAAAGGGGCAACUGCUCCACUACCAGAUGGACCUGCGUUGUAUUAGCUAGUUGGUGAGGUAACGGCUCACCAAGGCGACGAUACAUAGCCGACCUGAGAGGGUGAUCGGCCACACUGGGACUGAGACACGGCCCAGACUCCUACGGGAGGCAGCAGUAGGGAAUCUUCGGCAAUGGACGGAAGUCUGACCGAGCAACGCCGCGUGAGUGAAGAAGGGUUUCGGAUCGUAAAGCUCUGUUGUAAGAGAAGAACGAGUGUGAGAGUGGAAAGUUCACACUGUGACGGUAUCUGACCAGAAAGGGACGGCUAACUACGUG